Non-coding RNA from Varroa destructor (honeybee mite), 1405 nucleotides. The record is from RefSeq and is a predicted model, not a curated record. Lineage: Eukaryota; Metazoa; Arthropoda; Arachnida; Mesostigmata; Varroidae.
CUUCAAGAGAUAUGCAAUAUAGCCAUACUGCAAGAUGGUUUUGCUGUGCAAUGCCGUAAAAGGUGCUACUCUAUAAUGUCAAUGAGUCAACACAAACAUUUGCUUCUUUUAGCUAUACAACUGCGACAGUGUGGUACAAGCCUAUUUUUUUUGAAGAACCACCGUUUGGCGGGAAGGUUUUGCAUAUGGAAACCGCUUAUGGAAAAAUGCGGCUCUGUGAAAACAAGGAGUCCUUGGCUCGAUAUCACGCAGCCGUGCAUUUCACUGUUGGAAAUAUUAUCGAGGACUGUCCGUCUUUUUCGCAACCAGUAGACGUCAAGAAAUUCGAUCGUCAGACAAUUGCCGCCAUUGCCGAGAUCGUUUUCCGAAAGUGAGACGCCAUUAAUGGAUAGUUCCCAUGAAGCUGUAUGCACAGCAUAUGAGAAACUAAAAUUACAGCAUUGAAAAAAACGUUGCAAUCGGGUUCACGAACAUAACACCCUUUCGCGCGCCCUAUAAUAGGCAGAAUCGGCAUAUUGGCAAGAGAUCUUGAGGCGUUUGCCAAGCAUGCCAAGAGAACUAAGGUUACCACAGACGAUGUAAUACUUUGCGCGCGUCGAAACCCUUUUCUUGCUAAAAAGUUAAGGGAUUAUGCCAAUAGAGUGAAGGACGAAAAACAGGAUAAGUUACCGAACGGAGGCUUAGCUGCUCUCGGAGCAGCUGUUGCCGCGGCUGUACCAGCAGGAAGUGGGGCGUCAAAGAAUAUAAAGCAACGAAUAAACGUAGGUGAGGUCAUUGAUCUCAGCCAACUUGAAUAACUACAGCAUAUGAGAAAAUUUCUCAUGUAUAGAUUUGCCUUCAGCGGGAAUUAUGCCGAAGUGUUGUAAAGCGUAACGUGGACAGUAUAUGACACGUUUUACUAUGUGUUCAUGUUUGCGAAGCCGGAACGAUGUAAAUAAAUGAUUUGGGUAUGACGCAAAGAUAUAGUUCAAUAAUCUAAAUUUCAUGCCACGCUGAAGCUUGCUCUUUGUUUGUUCUAUUGUUGUUUCUAAUAAAAAACCGUUACAAGUAUUCACUCGUGCUCCAUUCGUCCAUGAGCAUAUUAUGGACAUAAAUAGUGGAGUUCUAUAACGAUUUUAAUUCAAUCUUUCGAAAGCAACGUAGAUGGGUUUUAACGGGCGAAUGCAUUGUCUACCGGGAUCAUGCAUUAAAACACUGAUUAUACUCAUAUUUUUUUCCUGAUUGAUUGAGUGUUGUCGAUAUCUCACAACAACUCGAAACCUCAGUCUGUAACAUUGCAACAAAAGGGCAAUUAUUAAUAUAAUAUGAUAGUUUUGAUAGCUUGAUUGAUUUAAUAGAAUUAAUUUGAUGUAACUAUACAAUUUCAUUGUAUUCGUGUACCUCACUUCAAUAAAUACUCAUUGGU